RNAcentral lists this ribosomal RNA (435 nucleotides) under Bacillus sp. CSR24. RNAcentral describes it as "bacterial SSU rRNA". It matches the Rfam family "Bacterial small subunit ribosomal RNA", at positions 166 to 621 of the family's 1533-position model. Lineage: Bacteria; Bacillati; Bacillota; Bacilli; Caryophanales; Bacillaceae. The record is from RNAcentral.
AUCCUUUUCUCUCUGAGGCCAGCUGACGUCGGUUUCGGCUGACACUUACAGAUGGGCCCGCGGCGCAUUAGCUAGUUGGUGAGGUAACGGCUCACCAAGGCGACGAUGCGUAGCCGACCUGAGAGGGUGAUCGGCCACACUGGGACUGAGACACGGCCCAGACUCCUACGGGAGGCAGCAGUAGGGAAUCUUCCACAAUGGACGAAAGUCUGAUGGAGCAACGCCGCGUGAGCGAUGAAGGCCUUCGGGUCGUAAAGCUCUGUUGUUAGGGAAGAACAAGUACCGGAGAACUGCCGGUACCUUGACGGUACCUAUCAAAAGCCACGGCUAACUACCUGCCAGGGCCGGGUAUCCUAGUGGCAAGAGUUUCCGAAUUUUGGGCGUAAGCGCGGCCGGCGUCCUUAAUCUGAUGCAAAGCCACGCUCACCGUGGAGG